RNAcentral lists this ribosomal RNA (253 nucleotides) under uncultured bacterium. Its description in RNAcentral is "partial 16S ribosomal RNA". It matches the Rfam family "Bacterial small subunit ribosomal RNA", at positions 524 to 776 of the family's 1533-position model. The record is from RNAcentral.
UACGAAGGGGGCUAGCGUUGCUCGGAAUCACUGGGCGUAAAGCGCACGUAGGCGGCUUUCUAAGUCAGGGGUGAAAUCCUGGAGCUCAACUCCAGAACUGCCUUUGAUACUGGAGAGCUUGAGUCCGGGAGAGGUGAGUGGAACUCCGAGUGUAGAGGUGAAAUUCGUAGAUAUCUGGAGGAACACCGGUGGCGAAGGCGGCAUCCUGGACCGGUAUUGACGCUGAGGCGCGAAAGCCAGGGGAGCAAACGGG